Molecule: long non-coding RNA, 588 nt
Organism: Musca domestica (house fly)
Lineage: Eukaryota; Metazoa; Arthropoda; Insecta; Diptera; Muscidae
Exons: 2
Source: RefSeq, a predicted model, not a curated record
UUAAUAUCCCAACAUACCAAAAAUACAAUACAGCUUGAGAAUAAUAUUAUGAAAAUAGUUUAUCGUAAGAAUUUUUCAACAAUGCUAGAGAAACACUUUUUUGCACAAACUUUUCUCAAAUCUGUCCUUUGUUGACAAAAUUGUUUUGAUUUUUUUUUUUUUGAGAAAUUUUUCGACAAAAAAUAUUUUCUUUGGUUAAAAUCAAAAUCACGCGAAUUUAGGACCAUUUCCGGACGAAACUCUAAGAAUAGAGGCGUCAAAAGUUGCAAGAAUUCAAGAGAAGUGAAGAAUUAGUGGAGGAGAUGCAGAAGCUCAAAUAAGGGGAAAGAAAGCAUCUAGGACCAAGGCAAAAGGAGGCAGUGAGAGUUGGGAUGGUCAUCAAUGAAUGAAAUGUGUAAAAUAAUUAAAAAAAAAAUGAAAAAAUAACUAUUUUAUACCAUUGAAAAAAUAAGCUUGAUAUAAUAUUGCUUUCGUAAGCUUAUUCUACAAUUACAAGAAUAAGCUUAUGAAUAAGGGUUCCGUUUCGAUUAUUCUAUAAUUGUUAAACAAGCAUUUCUCAAUACAUUCUCAAGAUUUUCUCAAGCUUAA